UACGAAGGGUGCAAGCGUUACUCGGAAUUACUGGGCGUAAAGCGUGCGUAGGUGGUUUGUUAAGUCUGUUGUGAAAGCCCCGGGCUCAACCUGGGAAUGGCAAUGGAUACUGGCAGGCUAGAGUACGGUAGGGGCAGAGGGAAUUUCCGGUGGAGCGGUGAAAUGCGUAGAGAUCGGAAAGAACACCAAGGGCGAAGGCACUCUGCUGGGCCGACACUGACACUGAGAGACGAGAGCUAGGGGAGCGAACAGG
Molecule: ribosomal RNA, 253 nt
Filed under: uncultured bacterium
Lineage: Bacteria
Description: partial 16S ribosomal RNA
Rfam family: Bacterial small subunit ribosomal RNA
Source: RNAcentral